ACAAGAGAUUCGGGGGGUUUUCGGCAAAAGUGCCUAUAGCCUCUCUCUCCUCUCUUUUGCGAUGUUCCGUCUUUGUAUAAGGGGCUAGGGUUUUUCUCUCUUCCUCUCUCCCUCUCUCCCUCAUUUGGAUCGUCUCUCUUGCUCGAUUCUUAACUUGGCAGGUUCCUGAUCACUUCGAACCGAAAACAUGCCGAAGAACAAGGGAAAGGGAGGAAAGAACAGGAAGAGAGGAAAGAACGAAGCAGAUGAUGAGAAACGUGAGCUUGUUUUCAAGGAAGAUGGUCAGGAGUAUGCCCAGGUUCUCAGAAUGUUGGGGAAUGGUCGGUGUGAGGCGACGUGCAUAGAUGGGACAAACGUGAGCUCAUGUUAGAAAACAUUUUUUUUUCUCUCGCUGCUGCUUUAGUGGCUGGAAUGAAUACUUCUGUUGAGAGGCCCGAAGCCACGAGACCUUGUUCAAUCAGUCAAAGCUGAGCAAAGGUGAAUAAGUAGCUGCGAGAGGAGAAAGAGAAGAAAAAGAAUAAAUAGGUAUAGGCUCAGCAGGAGUGAAAGAAGGGUGGGUCAGAAGUAAGUAAUAAAACUCCAGGAGUUUACUCAGAAUCCAUAGGUGAAAGAAAGAAGGGAAUGAGGUCAGAUCGAUCAGCCAGCUGCUUUGCUUUACCCCGAGCGAAAGAAUCUAGAGUAUCUUUAUCCUAAUUAUUUCCUUUAUUUGUUGAUUCUUGAUGAUCGUAUAUUUAUGACAUCUUUACAUGGAA
Molecule: long non-coding RNA, 752 nt
Organism: Cucurbita maxima (winter squash)
Lineage: Eukaryota; Viridiplantae; Streptophyta; Magnoliopsida; Cucurbitales; Cucurbitaceae
Exons: 2
Source: RefSeq, a predicted model, not a curated record